RNAcentral lists this ribosomal RNA (465 nucleotides) under Triticum aestivum (bread wheat). Its description in RNAcentral is "partial small subunit ribosomal RNA". Lineage: Eukaryota; Viridiplantae; Streptophyta; Magnoliopsida; Poales; Poaceae. The record is from RNAcentral.
AUGGCCGCGUGCCACUCAAGCCAGCAGGCCGCUACCCUCCAUCGGCCUCGGCCUCCGCGGUUGCCUGUUGCUGGCCCCGCUGCCGAGCGUCGCCUUCCCCGCGAGCCUCCUCAAGCCAGCACCAGAGCAAGCUCGUCCCCGCCGCGCCAAGCCCCUCUCCAUCGACCCCGCGCGCCAUCGCAGAACUCCAUCGUUGUCAGCUGGUGCAGCAGCGCCACCGCAGUACUACCCCAACCUCCGCGACCACCACCUUCGGCCUCCCCGUCCUCUGCUUCGCCUCCUCGCACCCCUGCUUCCGCCUUGACAGCCUCCCAUGGAUGCAACCACCUUUGCAGCCAAGACCGACGCCUAAACAAGCACACCGGCUCUGUGGAUUUCGGCAAGUCCCUCGACGACCGACGCUUAGUACCACUACGUUUGCCAUGUACAUCUACACCAAGACCGGACCGACAAGUACCCCGAUAA